Molecule: small nucleolar RNA, 157 nt
Organism: Drosophila innubila
Lineage: Eukaryota; Metazoa; Arthropoda; Insecta; Diptera; Drosophilidae
Source: RefSeq, a predicted model, not a curated record
AUCGAUUAUGUCCAAAACUAAAACCGCAUCAAUGAAUCCCACGUUGGUGUGGUAUUCAACUGGACUACAUUAAACCCCCAUGAUAUACUAUUCCUCUUAAGGGCAUCGGCUUGAAGAUGCGAUCCUUAAUAAAGUCAAAAAUCAACAAUACAAUUAG